RNAcentral lists this ribosomal RNA (225 nucleotides) under uncultured bacterium. RNAcentral describes it as "partial 16S ribosomal RNA". It matches the Rfam family "Bacterial small subunit ribosomal RNA", at positions 15 to 219 of the family's 1533-position model. The record is from RNAcentral.
GAUCCUGGCUCAGGAUGAACGCUGGCGGCGUGCUUAACACAUGCAAGUCGAGCGAAGCACUCUGUCUUUGAUUCUUUCGGGAUGAAGAGCAUUGUGACUGAGCGGCGGACGGGUGAGUAGCGCGUGGGUAACCUGCCUCAUACAGGGGGAUAACAGUUAGAAAUGGCUGCUAAUACCGCAUAAGACCACAGCACCGCAUGGUGCAGGGGUAAAAACUCCGGUGGU